RNAcentral lists this ribosomal RNA (253 nucleotides) under uncultured bacterium. RNAcentral describes it as "partial 16S ribosomal RNA". It matches the Rfam family "Bacterial small subunit ribosomal RNA", at positions 524 to 776 of the family's 1533-position model. The record is from RNAcentral.
UACGUAGGGGGCAAGCGUUAUCCGGAUUUACUGGGUGUAAAGGGAGCGUAGACGGCGAUGCAAGUCUGAAGUGAAAGCCCGGGGCUCAACCCCGGGACUGCUUUGGAAACUGUAUGGCUGGAGUGCUGGAGAGGCAAGCGGAGUUCCUAGUGUAGCGGUGAAAUGCGUAGAUAUUAGGAAGAACACCAGUGGCGAAGGCGGCUUGCUGGACAGUAACUGACGUUGAGGCUCGAAAGCGUGGGGAGCAAACAGG